CGAGCGAGCGUGAGACUUCGGUGGAUUUGCUGAGCGGCGGACGGGUGAGUAACGCGUGGAUACCUGCCUCACACAGGGGGAUAACAGUUAGAAAUGACUGCUAAUACCGCAUAAGACCGCAUGGUAAAAACUCCGGUGGUGUGAGAUGGAUCCGCGUCUGAUUAGGUAGUUGGUGAGGUAACGGCCCACCAAGCCGACGAUCAGUAGCCGACCUGAGAGGGUGACCGGCCACAUUGGGACUGAGACACGGCCCAAACUCCUACGGGAGGCAGCAGUGGGGAAUAUUGCACAAUGGGCGAAAGCCUGAUGCAGCAACGCCGCGUGAGUGAAGAAGUAUCUCUGUAUGUAAAGCUCUAUCAGCAGGGAAGAAAAUGACGGUACCUGACUAAGAAGCCCCGGCUAACUACGUGCCAGCAGCCGCGGUAAUACGUAGGGGGCAAGCGUUAUCCGGAUUUACUGGGUGUAAAGGGAGCGCAGACGGCACUGCAAGUCUGAAGUGAAAGCCCGGGGCUCAACCCCGGGACUGCUUUGGAAACUGUAGAGCUAGAGUGCUGGAGAGGCAAGCGGAAUUCCUAGUGUAGCGG
Molecule: ribosomal RNA, 584 nt
Filed under: uncultured bacterium
Lineage: Bacteria
Description: bacterial SSU rRNA
Rfam family: Bacterial small subunit ribosomal RNA
Source: RNAcentral